RNAcentral lists this transfer RNA (472 nucleotides) under Pseudomonas fluorescens. RNAcentral describes it as "partial 16S-23S ribosomal RNA intergenic spacer". The stretch from base 59 to 132 matches the Rfam family "tRNA". The record is from RNAcentral. Lineage: Bacteria; Pseudomonadati; Pseudomonadota; Gammaproteobacteria; Pseudomonadales; Pseudomonadaceae.
GAUCUCAGCUUCUUCAUAAGCUCCCACACGAAUUGCUUGAUUCACUGGUUAGACGAUUGGGUCUGUAGCUCAGUUGGUUAGAGCGCACCCCUGAUAAGGGUGAGGUCGGCAGUUCGAAUCUGCCCAGACCCACCAAUUGUUGGUGUGCUGCGUGAUCCGAUACGGGGCCAUAGCUCAGCUGGGAGAGCGCCUGCUUUGCACGCAGGAGGUCAGGAGUUCGAUCCUCCUUGGCUCCACCAUCUAAAACAAUCGUCGAAAGCUCAGAAAUGAAUGUUCGUAGAUGAACAUUGAUUUCUGGUCUUUGCACCAGAACUGUUCUUUAAAAAUUCGGGUAUGUGAUAGAAGUAAGACUGAAUGAUCUCUUUCACUGGUGAUCAUUCAAGUCAAGGUAAAAUUUGCGAGUUCAAGCGCGAAUUUUCGGCGAAUGUCGUCUUCACAGUAUAACCAGAUUGCUUGGGGUUUAAUAUGGUCA